AUCCUAAACAUGAAAGAGCAGUACUAAAUGCAUCAUUCUAGGCCAUGUAAAUUUAAAAAAAAAAUUUAAAUCAGGUCCAAAAAGAGUUUUAAGCCCAAUCGAAUUUGCCACCAGCUUCACAUGGCAAUAAUUUCACAUAGAGAUACAUGGUUGAUACACCUAUUAAAAGUCUUGUUGCAUUUUUUCUUUCUUUCUUUUUUCCGUUUUCAAUAUGCUUCAAUUUCAUGAUGCAAACGGCCUUACAUCUGGCGGUUCAUUUUGCUUAAAGCCAGAAUACUAUUUCCAUCACCAUUAAUAAAUACAAGGCAUGCUCCCUAAUUUAUUCUUCCCUUUGCUUGGAAAUAUGUACUACAAAAAAGCAAGAGUAGGACUAAAAAGUGGAGAUUCUUAUGGAAUGAAAGAAAUGCAAUCAACUCUCACACUAUGAUGAACUGCAAUUGAGCUGGUACAUCACAAACUGAAUUGAUAGGACAAUGAUAGUGACAAUAUUCUUAGCAAGUUCGGGUCAUGUAUUACAUAUAAGGUGGUCUUAACAAAGGAGCUCAAUGAGUUAGAACUACAGCCUCACUGUCCCAAAGUGAAACGGUCAAAGCUUGUAAUAAGCUCCAGCUAAGGAAGCUCCUACAACCAGGUCAUAUUCCUAAUUGACUCUGUUUUUGAGAAAUCAGGAUACUUUGGGUGGAUUUUCCUUCACAUGAAUAAUUGGAUUCAUCUUCUAAAGUACUCUUGGGAGUGAGGAAUCCUUCUCAAAAGCCUUGGAAUCGAGCACAAAUUUGAAAUUUCAAUCUGCAUUGAGGAUAUGGGCCCGGUUUCAUCCAAAAGCUUCCUAUAGUUGACUAAUUCAUGAACUUGAAAAUUUUGGAGGAUAGAAGAACAAGCACAUGUCUUCUGCAAGCAUUUGAAAACUUGUGCAUCAGUGCAUCAAUGGUUGUUGCUAGUGCUCAUAGAGAUUCAAAUAUGUGAAAUGGUAAUUGUGAGAUUGAAAUCCUAACCAUGAGACUAGCAGACGAGUCUUGGUGAACUUGAGAGUUUUGCCAUUCUCUUUCCUUGUGGAUCAUUCUCAAUACAAGUUGUUCUCCCAUUAUGUUUUAACAGUAUGUAAUACUCUAAAUGGUAAAUUAUGCCUCAAUUGAUCAUCUUUGAAUUACAAUUAGAUGUUAUUAAUGUUUA
Molecule: long non-coding RNA, 1170 nt
Organism: Vitis riparia (riverbank grape)
Lineage: Eukaryota; Viridiplantae; Streptophyta; Magnoliopsida; Vitales; Vitaceae
Exons: 8
Source: RefSeq, a predicted model, not a curated record